CGCAGCCGCGGUAAUUCCAGCUCCAAUAGCGUAUAUUAAAGUUGUUGCAGUUAAAAAGCUCGUAGUUGAAUUUCGGGAUCAAAGGAUCGGUCAUGCCUUGGUAUGUACUGGUUUUAUUGGUUCUCACCUUCUAAAGAACCAUAAUGUCAUUCAUUUGAUGUUAUGGGGAAUUAGGACUGUUACCUUGAAAAAAUUAGAGUGUUUAAAGCAGGCUCACGCUUGAAUACAUUAGCAUGGAAUAAUGAAAUAGGACGUUUGAUUCUAUUUUGUUGGUUUCUAGGAUCGACGUAAUGAUUAAUAGGGAUAGUUGGGGGCAUUAGUAUUCAAUUGUCAGAGGUGAAAUUCUUGGAUUUAUUGAAGACUAACUACUGCGAAAGCAUUUGCCAAGGAUGUUUUCAUUAAUCAAGAACGAAAGUUAGGGGAUCGAAGACGAUCAGAUACCGUCGUAGUCUUAACCAUAAACUAUGCCGACUAGGGAUCGGAUGAUGUUAAUUUUUAAUGACUCAUUCGGCGCCUUACG
Molecule: ribosomal RNA, 520 nt
Filed under: uncultured Glomus
Lineage: Eukaryota; Fungi; Glomeromycota; Glomeromycetes; Glomerales; Glomeraceae
Description: SSU rRNA
Rfam family: Eukaryotic small subunit ribosomal RNA
Source: RNAcentral